AACCGCGGUUAUACGAGAGGCUCAAAUUGAUAUCGUUCGGCGUAAAGCGUGAUUAGAAGAAAAAGAACUAAGGCCGAACACCACCUUGGCUGUCACACGCUUAAGGAAGCAAGAAGCCCUACAACGAAAGUGGCCUUAAAGACCUUGAAUUCACGACCAUAAGGAAA
RNAcentral lists this ribosomal RNA (167 nucleotides) under Rhynchoconger sp. FRLM:47069. RNAcentral's name for it is "partial 12S rRNA". The record is from RNAcentral. Lineage: Eukaryota; Metazoa; Chordata; Actinopteri; Anguilliformes; Congridae.